This 9284-nucleotide long non-coding RNA is filed under the name Sus scrofa (pig). RNAcentral's name for it is "lncRNA (ENSSSCG00050020206.1)". The record is from RNAcentral. Lineage: Eukaryota; Metazoa; Chordata; Mammalia; Artiodactyla; Suidae.
AUGAGGCAAGACAGAAGUAAAUAUCCCCAUGUUACAAGAAAAUGGACACCCCCAAAAGGGGAGUAGUCCCUCAAACUGCACAGCUGGCAGAGCUGGAAUUCUGACUCCAUGUCCAGCUUUCACUCAGCUGGCAUCAGCCCAGGCACCUCUUAGCCCUCAUAUUCCCUUCUCCCCCCGCUGACCCCACUGUGCCUUCAGACACUUUCCAUGCCUUCCCUGGCUCUGAGCCCCAUCUUGGGGGUGAUUAAUAUGAUAUCAUCAAGACUGAGCUCUCAUCCUGGUCACACUGUGAGCCCUAAUCCUGGACUGAUUCCUGAUUCUGGUUGCAGACUGAGCCCCCACCCCUUGCCACUAACUCCCUUAAUAGUGUUUAGAGCCAAACCUAAGAUGGGCCAGGCCUAGAAGACAUGGAUGGCUGAGUUCUGUGCCUCUCCAGGAGCAGGGUUGGUGUAGCUGCAGCCUGGCUAAAUGCUCUGGCAUGGUUUCCCUCCAUCCUGGACUAGACUCAAAGCCACAGCCUGUGCCCAGUCCAUUUCUGUCCCCUCCCACUGCUCUUCCUUGUGUGGGUGGGGGAUUGUGGGGCCCAUGGUACAUGUUGAGCAGAGAUUGUCUGAUGAGUCAUCCUUGCUCAAAACAAAGGAGUCUGGCAUGGACAGUACUUCUGGCUUCUCUGCUGCAAGGGAAUAACCUCUCCAACCCAAAUGUUCAAGUACAACCUUGACCUGGCUGUUUCACACCUUGGGCUCUUCAUUCCCCUCCCUCACCACGUCAGCUUUUCUUCAACAUGAUUUCUCGGAGUUGCCAGAAAACGGGCUUGUUGCAGCUUUUGCCCUGCUUUUAGUACUGGCACCUCCUGUAGGAUCAGUUGGAAGGCAAGGCUGACUUCUAACCACUCGUGUCUCUUAUCCAUGCCAGGAGAGGUGGAAGGUCAGGGAAUGGGCACUGGCAGAUGCUACGUCUGGAGAAGUUGGAGGGAAGAAGAUAAGGGAUGGUAGGGGUCAUGAUCUUGGUAUAUCAUUGAGUCAUAAAAUGUCAGAGCAGCCGGGAUGCUGAAAGACUUCCCCUCCUGCCACUGUGUCAGACAGAUGGAGAAACGAGGUCCCUGGCAGAGGCAGAGGAACAUUCCCAAGAUCCUACAGUAACUUGAUCAGAUUGGGGGUCAAAGUGUGGAUUCUUUGUGCUGAAGAUCAGCCUUGGGCAGAGGGGGCAGGUUCCAUGGCCCUAAAGCCAGAAGAGGACUCCUAGAGAAGGCCCAGGAAGAUAGAGGGAGGGGCUCCAGGGAAGGAGGACCUGGGAGUUUUCCAGCCCUGGGACCUCUGGUUGGAGGGAAGUAAGGUUCCAGUUCCUCAUCAUCAGAUACAUAGCAAGCACAGCCUGGGUCAGAAUAUGGGGAUGUGCCCAGCCAUACAGUGGGGGGGAGCUUGCUUGCUCUCUUGGCCAUGUUUUGCUUUGUGGGGGUUAGAACCAGUUGUGUUCCCCACAAUCCUGGGGUUCCUUUGCUUGACCUAAGAGUCUGCUCUCCUUGCUGAACCCUCAAGGCCCAAAACAGCUCACUUGAGCAAUUCUGCAGCUGCCUCUGGCUGGUCACAGGCCAUGGGAGAUGUAAGAGACAUCUGGACCCAUAGUAAGAGUAUGUAUUUGAGGAGGAAACUUGGGAGAGGGCCACCCUGGUGGGGGUUGCUUAUGGGAGCAGACUGGCUCAGAGAAAAUCACGGCAGGGGUGGGAAGCCUGUCCCUCCUCCAAGCCAAGGGUCUGGGCUGCAGGUUUAGGGUGGCAGGGGGCACUUGGGCUCUUGCCUCAGUGCUGCUACCUGGUGCCUACAUCAAAGACUGCUUUGGCAGCCUCUGGGCUGUGUCACCCUGGGGGCCAUCAUUUCCCCACCUAGUUCAUUUACAUGUCUCUCUGCCGCUAGGCUGGCAACUCUUUGAAAGCCAGAUAUUGCAGGGUGGGUUCUUUGGGAAACAGACUGUGACUCGAGGUUUAUCAUGUUGGAUGUUCUUUAGGGAGAGCUCUUGAGAUGGAUGCCUGUAGAAGGGAGGGGGAAGAGGCAGAACUGGGCAAAGGGAGAAGUUGAGCUAUAAUGCAGGCCCCAACCUAGCCUUGGAUGCCUCAAUGGAAGGUCUGGAGUGGAAUGGCCCAUCACAUUCCCACACUGGGUUGAAAUAGCUGGGCCUUUAUACCCCAAAUGGAUUGAUCUUUGCAUAUAGAUCUCCCAGAGCAGGACAUGACCUCAAGUAAAGCAAGUAUCUGCCACUGAAGCACCUGGAGGGGCUGACAGCCCACAGAACUCCUGCUGGUGUUCUCCUGCCCACAGAACUCCAGAGUGGGCAUCCCCUCUCUGUCUACCUUGCUGGUUUCAGUUCCCUUUUGAGGAAUGCUAGUUCAAGGAAUUAAUAGAUUGCUUUGAAAGAAGCCCCUAAAAUAUUUUGGCCUCAUUCUCCCUAUCUCUUAAAUGGGCAUAUCUUCUACAUUUAGGUUAUAAAAGGCAAAGCUCUUUAUAAACACCACACCCCGGAGUUCCUGUCGUGGCGCAAUGGUUAACGAAUCUGACUAGGAACCAUGAGGUUGCAGGUUUGAUCCCUGGCCUUGCUCAAUGGGUUAAGGAUCUGGCGUUGCCGUGAGCUGUGGUGUAGGUUGCAGAUUCAGCUUGGAUCCCUCGUUGCCGUGGCUCUGGUGUAGGCUGGCAGCUGCAGCUCUGAUUAGACCCCUAGCCUGAGAACCUCCAUAUGCCACAGGAGUGGCCCUAGAAAAGGCAAAAAGACAAAAAAAAAAAUAUAUAUAUAUGUAAACACCACACCCCAUGGAUGUAUGAAGCCUCCCUUCAGUUCUCUUUCAGUUGACCCUGCACUGAAAGGUAUUGGGAGCACUGAAGGUAUUGGGGGGAGUGGAGGGUAGGUGGGGUGGACGUGGCAGUUUGUGGUUGAUACUUUAGGGGAAACCACAGCUGCCUCUUAUUCAGGGCUGUCAGUGAGGCCAGGGGAGGGGAUGUUCACAUGCCGGAUGGGCCGUGGGCACUGAGUCACCACCCAGAGGAAAACCACAGCUUCAAAAGCCCCAAGGCGCAAGGAAGGGUGGCAGAUGAGCUGGAUGAGAGCCAGGCCUCAGGAGCGGGGAUUUGGACAGCCUCCUUACCUCAAGGGCUAGUCCUGUUCCAGCUUGCAGGGCAGCACCUACCAUAUGCCAUUAGAAAGGCUGGCUUGGUCACACAUCUCUGUGCAGCAGAACAGAGCAAGAGCUGGUUGAUCCUGGAAAAGAACCAAGCCUCUCUGGUGUCUAGUUCCCCACUCCCUGGGAAAAUGGGGACAAUUCUUGAAUUGGAGAAAAUUCAUCUAAAGUAUCUGAAGACACAUAAUCUGCAACUUUGCUAAUAUGAUAAUUUUACUAUCUUCAUUAUAGUCUAGAGUGGCUGCUAUCUGUCACAUUGCAUUCAUCUACUGAUUCCUCAAUAAUUGCAUAGUAAUCCUCCUCAGGCAGUGUUUUCCUUCUUUGUAAGAAGAUGAAAUAUUCUCAAUUCUCAUCUUAUGCAAUGAAAGCUAAAAUAAGGAAAGAUGAUGUCUCCAUACUUCUUUACACCUUCUUGAAAGAUGUCUAAUGCUUUGGAAAAAACAAUUAAAAAACUAAAGGAUGGUGGAAUAGUAAUGAUUUGUGUCACUAUUGAAUCAUUCUCCAGGCAAUUUCAUCAUUCUUCUGUUUUCUUAUUACUUUUUGAAAAUUUAUUUAUUUAUUUAUUUAUUGCUUUUUGGGGUCACACUCACAGCAUGUGGAGGUUGCCAGACUCGGUGUCAAACUGGAGCUGUAGCCACCGGCCUACACCACAGCCACAGCAGUGGCAGAUCUGAGCCACGUCUGUGACCUACACCACAGCUCACUGUAAUGCUGGAUCCUCAACCCUCUCAACGAGGCCAGAGAUCGAACUCGCAUCCUCAUGGAUGCUCGUCAGAUUCGUUUCUGCUAAGCAUGGGAAACUCCUGUUUUCUUAUUAUUUUAAACACUUUUAAACAUUUAUCUUUAUUUUUUAUUAUAGUUGAUUUACACUGUUCUGUCAAUUUCUGUUGCACAGCAAACUGACCCAGUCAUACAUCCAUAUACAUUCUUUUUUUCACAUUAUCCUCCAUCAUGUUCCAUCACCAAAUGAUCAGAUACAGUUCCUUGUGCUGUACAGCAGAAUCUCAUUGCUUAUCCAUUCCAAAUGCAAUAGUUUGCAUCUAGGAACCCCAAACUCCCAGUCCCUCCCCUUCCCUCUUGGCAACCACAAGUCUGUUCUCCAUGUCCAUGAGUUUGCUUCUUUUCUGUAGGUGGAUUAAAGUCUAGAUAUGUGAUAUCAUGUGGUUUUUGUUUUUCUCCUUCUUACUUACUUCACUUAGUGUGAGAGUCUCUAGUUCCAUCCAUGUUGCUGCAAAUGGCAUUAUUUUUUUCUCCUUUAUGGCUGAGUAGUAUUCCAUUGUGUAUAUGUACCACAUCUUCUUAAUCCAUUCGUCUGUCAUUGGACAUUUAGGUUACUUCCAUGUCUUGGCUAUUGUGAAUAGUGUUGCAGUGAACAUAGGGUGCAUGUAUCUUUUUCAAUUAAAGCUUUGUCUGAAUAUAUGCCCAGGAGUGGGAUUGCUGGAUUAUGUGGUAGUUCUAUAUUUAGCUUUCUGAGGUACCUCCAUACUGUUUUCCAUAGUGGUUGUACCAAUUUACAUUCCCACCAACAGUGUAGGAGGAUUCCUUAUUUUAGACUCUUUCUAAAGCAUGAUUAAGAGUAAUUAACAUGUAAUUAUGGAAAAUAGUUCCUAGGAGGAUUAAACAGCAAAUAUUCUAAGAUCUAAGAAAAAGAAGAUUAUUAAAGGUCAUGAUAUAUUUUUGGAUUUGUAAAGGAUCCAAUGGAUUGAUAUGAUAAUUUUAAGAUAGAAUAAGCUUCAUUCGAUUGAAAAAUAAUUGGGGUUCCCAUCAUGGCUCAGUGGUAACGAAACUGACUAGUAUCCAUGAGGUCGCAUUUUUGAUCCCUGGCCCCACUCAGUGAGUUAAGGAUCUGGUGUUGCUGAAAGCUAUGGUGUAGGUUGCAUAUAUGGCUUGGAUCUCACAUUGCUGUGGCUGUGGUGUAAGCCAGAAGCUGCACUCCGAUUAGACCCCUCGCCUGGAAACUUCCAUAUGACACGGAAGCAGACCAAGAAAUGGCAAAAAGACAAAAAAAAAAAAAAAAAAAAAAAAGUGCUGAAAGAACAAACCCUGCUGAUCUACAAUUCUAUGCCCAGCAAAAUAUCCUUCAAAAAUGAAGGCAAAAUGAAUGUGUUCAAAUGGACAGAAGUUGAAAGAAUUUGGUUUGUUGCUAGUAUACACUGGUGCUACAGGAAAUUACUAGGACAGUUCUUUAGGCUGAAGGAAAAGAUUCCCUGAUAGAACUACAGAAGGGAAUGAAGGACAGAGCAAAAGUAAAAAUGUAUAUAAUUAUAUGUGAAUAUUGACUGUUUAAACAACAAUAAUAUUUCACAAGAUUUUUAACAUAGAGGUAAAUAUAUUCCAACAAUAGCACCAAAGUGGGAGUUAACUGUUCUAAGAUAAUUUGCAUAACUACUAACUGUAAAAGUACUAGUUUAAGGUAAAUUAAGUACCUUAAAUAAAUCAAGGAUACAGGAGUUCCCGUCGUGGCUCAGUAGUUAACGAAUCCGACUAGGAACCAUGAGGUUGUGGGUUCAAUCCCUGGCCUUGCUCAGUGGAUUAAGGAUCCGGCAUUGCCGUGAGCUGUGGUGUAGGUUGCAGACUCGGCUCAGAUCCCACCUUGCUGUGGCUCUGGCGUAGGCCAGCAGCUACAGCUCCAAUUCGACCCCUAGCCUGGGAACCUCCAUAUGCUGAGAGAGCGGCCCUAGAAAAGGCAAAAAGACAAAAAUAAAUAAAUAAGAAUAAAAAAUUUAAAAAAAUCAAGGAUGCAUAUUGUAGUCUCUAGGAUGACCACUAAAAUCAUAAUAAAAGAAGGUGCAAUGAAAAAGCUAAUAAUAGAGCAAAAUGAAAUAGUAAAAAUUAAAAAAAAUUUUAAAUUAGCUGAAAGGAAAGUGUAAAAGGAGGAAUAAAAUUACAAAGGCUAAAUAGAAAACAAAUAACAAGGUAAAUCCAACUAUACUAGUAAUUAUAAUUAAUGUAAAUAAUAUAAAUAUGUCAAUUAAAAGACAAGGGUUAUCAGACUAGAUGAAAAACAAAAUCCAAACCUGAUGUUUAUAGAAGACUCACUUUAUUGUUUUUGUUUUUCACAUUUUUCAAAUUAUAGUUGCUUUACAAUAUUGUGCCAAUUUCUGCUGUACAGCAAAGUGACCCAGUCAUACACACACACACACACACACACACACACACAUACAUUUCUGUUCUUUUUUUUUUUUUUUUAAGGCAGCACCUGUGGCACAUGGAAGUUCCCAGGCUAGGGGUUAAAUCAGAGCUGUAGCUGCUUGCCUACAGCCACAGCAAUGCCAGAUCCAAGCUGUGUCUGAGACCUACACCACAGUUCACGGCAAUGCCAUAUCCUUAACCCACUGAGCAAGGCCAGAGAUUGAAACCGCAUCCUCAUGGAUACUAGUCAGAUUCUUAACCCACUGAGCCACAAUGGGAACUCCUGCUUAUAUUUUUCUUAGUCUGUGAGUUUAAACAAAAAUUAUCUACUGUAGUCUUGGAGGGCUAUUUAUAUGCAGAAACGUCCCUGAUAGCUUGUGAGGGCGAACUAUACUUUUGGCUGCUUUUAGUUUGGAUGCUUGCUGUCUCUUUCCUCAGUGAGUGCAGGCCGUUAUCCCUUGAUGGGGUGUAAAGGUAUAUGGACUGCUUGUGCUUCCAGGGAGGUGGGGGCAAUGGGUGGCACCUGCAGGUGGUGCCUAGUUGCUGGGACCUUGCCAGUAGCCACACUCUAUGGGGAGGCGGGGUGGUGCCCAGAACCCUUGCAGUGGCCACAGGGGGCAUAUGUAAUCCCAGGGAGGUGAGGGCAGCAGGUGGCACUCUGGGGCCCUCCACGGCAGCAACACCUGAGGUGACUGGGGCUGCAGGCCCGUGCCUGGUCAUGGGACCCUCAGUGGUGGCAGGCCUCACCCACCUCUGGAGUCUGAGAUUGCCACAGCAGUUUGCACCCACCCUAGUAACAUGUGCAGGAGGCACCUGCCACAUGAGAGCUCUCAUGUGUGCAGAGAAAGAAGUUCCUAUGGUGGUCCUGUUCCCCUCUCCCCUCGUGCUCACCAGCAAUGAGGCCUUGCUGCUCUGGCAGGCCCAGGCCUCCUCCUGCACUGCCUCAGCUGUGGUGCACCACUCCCUAGUCCUUUCAGGCUGUUUCCACACAGCCAACCCCAGUGCUCCCCACAGAAGUGACCUCCAUAGCCCAAGUCUCAGCACUCAGCCCCCGUCUGAGUGUCUCGGCUGUGGUUUCCCAGGCGGCGUUACUGCUGCUCUCUCUGCUUUGCCCUCCUCAGACCAAUUGCUGUGCUUUUCUCUGAGGCCUUGAGGCUCCUUCUCAUCCCAGCUGACCUCCCUGUCAGUUAGGUGGCCUCCCAGGGGACAGACUCCUUUCCUCUUUCACAGCUCCCUCUCAGGAGUGCUGGUUCCAACCUGAUUCCUUGUUUUCUCUUCUCUCUCUCUCUCUCUUUUUUUUCUCCUUUUGUUCUACCCAGUUAUGUGGAGCUUUUCUUGUCCUUUUUGGAAGUCAGAGGUCUUCUCCCAGCAUUCAGUAGAUGUUCUGUGCAAGUCAUUCUACAUUUAGGUGUUUUUUUUUUUAUUAUUUGUUUGUAGGAGAAGGUAAAUGCCAACGUCCUACACCUCUGCCAUCUUUUUAAAAAUUUUAUUUAUUUAUUUAUUUUUUGAUCACAUCUGUAGUUGUAUAAUGAUCAUAACAAUCCAAUUUCACAGGAUUUCCAUCCCACAACCCAAGAACAUCCCCCCACCCCCCAAAAUGUCUCCUCUGGAGACUAAAUUUUUCAGUGUAUGUGAGUCAGCAUCUGUUCUGCAAAGAAGUUCAGUCUGUCCUUUUUUUCAAAUUCCGCAUGUCAGUGAAAGCAUUUGAUGUUGGUGUCUCAUUGUAUGGCUGACUUCACUUAGCAUGAUAAUUUCUAGGUCCAUCCAUGUUGCUAAAAAUGCUGGUAUUUCAUUCCUUUUAAUGGCUGAGUAAUAUUCCAUUGUGUAUAUGUACCAUAUCUUCUUGAUCCACUCCUCUGUCGAUGGACAUUUCGGUUGUUUCCAUGUCUUGGCUAUUGAACAUAAUGCUGCAAUGAACAUUGGAGUACAUGUGUCUUUGUGAGUCAUGGUUUUCUCUGGGUAGAUGCCCAGGAGUGGGAUUGCUGGAUCAAAUGGUAGUUCUAUUUUUAGUUUUCUGAGGCAUCUCCAUACAGUUUUCCACAGUGGUUGCACCAAUUUACAAUCCCACCAACAGUGUGAUAGGGUUCCUUUUUCUCCACACCCUCUCCAGCACUUACUGUUUGUAGACUUUUGGAUGAUGGCCAUUCUGGCUGGUGUAAGGUGGUACCUCAUUGUGGUUUUGAUUUGCAUUUCUCUAAUAAUGAGUGAUGUUAAACAUCUUUUCAUGUGUUUUCUGAUCUGUAUGUCUUCUUUGGAGAACUGUCUGUUUAGAUCUUCUGCCCAUUUUUGGAUGGGGUUGUUUGUUUUUUUGGUAUGGAGCUGCAGAAGGUGUUUAUAAAUUUUGGAGAUUAAUCACUUGUCAGUUGAUUGAUUUGCAAAGAUUUUCUUCCAUUCUGUGGGUUGUCUUUUUGUUUUGUUUAGGGUUUCUUUUGCUGUGCAGAAACUUUUAGGUUUGAUUAGGUCCCAUUUGUUUAUUUUUGUUUUUAUUGUCAUGACUCUAAGAGGUGGAUCUGAGAAGAUGUUGCUGUCGUUUAAGUCAGAGAGUGUUUGGCCUAUGUUUUCCUCUAAGAGUUUUAUAGUGUCUGGUCUUAUAUCUAGGUGUUUAAUCCAUUUUGAGUGUAUUUUUGUGUAUGGUGUUAGGGAGUGUUCUAAUUUCAUUCUUUUCCAUGUGGCUGUCCAGUUUUCCGAGCACCACUUAUUGAACAGGCUGUCUUUUCUACACUCUGCCAUCUUGAUCCCUCCUCACAGAAAUCUCACUUUAUUUUUUUUAAUGAUUAUUUUUUUUUAGGAAGCUUACUUUAAAUAGAAGGAUACAGAAGGGUGAAAGUCAAAGGUUAGAAAGCAAUGUCAUAUAAAUAUUAACCCCUAAAAAGCUGAUAUGGACACAUGAACACUGGAAAUUUUAAGUUAAGAUGUAUUAUAAGUUCCUGUCGUGGCGCAGCAGAAACAAAUCUGACUAAGAACCAUGAGGUUGUGGGUUCAAUUC